RNAcentral lists this ribosomal RNA (1379 nucleotides) under uncultured bacterium. Its description in RNAcentral is "bacterial SSU rRNA". It matches the Rfam family "Bacterial small subunit ribosomal RNA", at positions 18 to 1394 of the family's 1533-position model. The record is from RNAcentral.
CCUGGCUCACGAUGAACGCUAGCUACAGGCUUAACACAUGCAAGUCGAGGGGCAGCAUGGUCUUAGCUUGCUAAGGCCGAUGGCGACCGGCGCACGGGUGAGUAACACGUAUCCAACCUGCCGUCUACUCUUGGACAGCCUUCUGAAAGGAAGAUUAAUACAAGAUGGCAUCAUGAGUCCGCAUGUUCACAUGAUUAAAGGUAUUCCGGUAGACGAUGGGGAUGCGUUCCAUUAGAUAGUAGGCGGGGUAACGGCCCACCUAGUCUUCGAUGGAUAGGGGUUCUGAGAGGAAGGUCCCCCACAUUGGAACUGAGACACGGUCCAAACUCCUACGGGAGGCAGCAGUGAGGAAUAUUGGUCAAUGGGCGAGAGCCUGAACCAGCCAAGUAGCGUGAAGGAUGACUGCCCUAUGGGUUGUAAACUUCUUUUAUAAAGGAAUACAGUCGGGUAUGGAUACCCGUUUGCAUGUACUUUAUGAAUAAGGAUCGGCUAACUCCGUGCCAGCAGCCGCGGUAAUACGGAGGAUCCGAGCGUUAUCCGGAUUUAUUGGGUUUAAAGGGAGCGUAGAUGGAUGUUAAGUCAGUUGUGAAACUUUGCGGCUCAACCGUAAAAUUGCAGUGAUACUGCUGAUCUUGACUGCAGUUUAGGCAGGCCGAAUUCGUGUUGUAGCGGUGAAAUGCUUAGAUAUCACGAAGAACUCCGAUUGCGAAGGCAGCCUGCUAAGCUGCAACUGACAUUGAGGCUCGAAAGUGUGGGUAUCAAACAGGAUUAGAUACCCUGGUAGUCCACACGGUAAACGAUGAAUACUCGCUGUUUGCGAUAUACUGCAAGCGGCCAAGCGAAAGCGUUAAGUAUUCCACCUGGGGAGUACGCCGGCAACGGUGAAACUCAAAGGAAUUGACGGGGGCCCGCACAAGCGGAGGAACAUGUGGUUUAAUUCGAUGAUACGCGAGGAACCUUACCCGGGCUUAAAUUGCAGAUGAAUUACGGUGAAAGCCGUAAGCCGCAAGGCAUCUGUGAAGGUGCUGCAUGGUUGUCGUCAGCUCGUGCCGUGAGGUGUCGGCUUAAGUGCCAUAACGAGCGCAACCCUUGUUGUCAGUUACUAACAGGUUCCGCUGAGGACUCUGACAAGACUGCCAUCGUAAGAUGUGAGGAAGGUGGGGAUGACGUCAAAUCAGCACGGCCCUUACGUCCGGGGCUACACACGUGUUACAAUGGGGGGUACAGAGGGCCGCUACCACGCGAGUGGAUGCCAAUCCCCAAAACCUCUCUCAGUUCGGACUGGAGUCUGCAACCCGACUCCACGAAGCUGGAUUCGCUAGUAAUCGCGCAUCAGCCACGGCGCGGUGAAUACGUUCCCGGGCCUUGUACACACCGCC